RNAcentral lists this transfer RNA (76 nucleotides) under Myxococcales bacterium. RNAcentral's name for it is "tRNA-Met". It matches the Rfam family "tRNA". From Rfam's summary of the family: Transfer RNA (tRNA) molecules are approximately 80 nucleotides in length. Their secondary structure includes four short double-helical elements and three loops (D, anti-codon, and T loops). Lineage: Bacteria; Pseudomonadati; Myxococcota; Myxococcia; Myxococcales. The record is from RNAcentral.
GGGCCUAUAGCUCAGCGGUUAGAGCGGCCGGCUCAUAACCGGCUGGUCCCUGGUUCGAAUCCAGGUGGGCCCACCG